AGCCUGCCCAGUGACAAAGUUCAACGGCCGCGGUACCCUAACCGUGCGAAGGUAGCAUAAUCACUUGUUCUUUAAAUGAGGACUCGUAUCAACGGCACUACGAGGGCUAUACUGUCUCCUUUUUCUAAUCAGUGAAACUGAUCUCCCCGUGAAGAAGCGGGGAUCAAAAUAUAAGACGAGAAGACCCCAUGGAGCUUUAAACUCACUAUACACCUCUGUGCCUUUAUGCCACUAGACACAAGAGAUCUGCGUACUAGUUUUAGGUUGGGGGGACCACGGAGUAUAAUUUAACCUCCAUAACAAAUGGGCUAACACCCUUAUCUACGAGACACAACUCUAAGAAUUACUAAACUAAUGCUUACGACCCGAUAUUCGAUCAAUGAACCAAGUUACCCUGGGGAUAACAGCGCAAUCUACUUCAAGAGCCCAUAUCGACAAGUGGGUUUACGACCUCGAUGUUGGAUCAGGGUAUCCCGGUGGUGCAGCCGCUACCGACGGUUCGUUUGUUCAACGAUUAAAACCCUACGUGAUCU
Molecule: ribosomal RNA, 533 nt
Filed under: Rana graeca (Greek frog)
Lineage: Eukaryota; Metazoa; Chordata; Amphibia; Anura; Ranidae
Description: partial large subunit ribosomal RNA
Rfam family: Bacterial large subunit ribosomal RNA
Source: RNAcentral